CCUACGGGUGACAGCAGUGAGGAAUAUUGGUCAAUGGGCGCGAGCCUGAACCAGCCAAGCCGCGUGAAGGAAGACUGCCCCACGGGUCGUAAACUUCUUUUAUAAAGGAAUAAAGUGAGGCACGUGUGCCGUUUUGUAUGUACUUUAUGAAUAAGCAUCGGCUAACUCCGUGCCAGCAGCCGCGGUAAUACGGAGGAUCCGAGCGUUAUCCGGAUUUAUUGGGUUUAAAGGGUGCGUAGGUGGGUUGGUAAGUCAGGUGUGAAAGUUUGCGGCUCAACCGUAAGAGUGCAAUUGAAACUGGCGGCCUUGAGAAGAGUAGAGGUAGGCGGAAUUCGCGGUGUAGCGGUGAAAUGCUUAGAUAUCACGAAGAACUCCGAUUGCGAAGGCAGCUUAC
Molecule: ribosomal RNA, 394 nt
Filed under: uncultured bacterium
Lineage: Bacteria
Description: partial 16S ribosomal RNA
Rfam family: Bacterial small subunit ribosomal RNA
Source: RNAcentral